Molecule: ribosomal RNA, 270 nt
Filed under: Proteus mirabilis
Lineage: Bacteria; Pseudomonadati; Pseudomonadota; Gammaproteobacteria; Enterobacterales; Morganellaceae
Description: partial 16S ribosomal RNA
Rfam family: Bacterial small subunit ribosomal RNA
Source: RNAcentral
GGUAGUCCACGCUGUAAACGAUGUCGAUUUAGAGGUUGUGGUCUUGAACCGUGGCUUCUGGAGCUAACGCGUUAAAUCGACCGCCUGGGGAGUACGGCCGCAAGGUUAAAACUCAAAUGAAUUGACGGGGGCCCGCACAAGCGGUGGAGCAUGUGGUUUAAUUCGAUGCAACGCGAAGAACCUUACCUACUCUUGACAUCCAGCGAAUCCUUUAGAGAUAGAGGAGUGCCUUCGGGAACGCUGAGACAGGUGCUGCAUGGCUGUCGUCAG